Molecule: long non-coding RNA, 1405 nt
Organism: Peromyscus maniculatus bairdii (prairie deer mouse)
Lineage: Eukaryota; Metazoa; Chordata; Mammalia; Rodentia; Cricetidae
Source: RefSeq, a predicted model, not a curated record
CUUGCCACAAACCUCAUGGUGGCCCCAAGGUUCCGGGACCCGGAUGAGCGUUCAAGGGGGAUUUUCCUGGCAGCCUGUAGCAGGGCAGCUUUCCGCUGAUGGUCCGGGAAGCGCACUAGGGCAUCAGUUUCCACCUGAGUACAUGGCUGCCUGAAACACAGGACACACUUUCCCGGAGCUAGCUGGCUUACUACAUUCUGGAUAAUAGAAUAAGGAAAACGUGGCAUUUCUGGGAAAAUUCUGUAAACUUAUAGUAUCAGCAGAAUUCAUUAAAAGAAAGAAGCUUCAAGAUUAACAAACCUCCCUCUGUGGCUAUAGAAAGAUUGAUGUUGUGAAAUGAGUGGAUUUCCAAAUCAAGAAUCUUCACCUACCGUCCUAUCUGCCAAACCUUUUGAACCCUUGAUGCCCUGGAAAGAACAGAAACAAGGUUCAAAAUGCAAUAGUCUAAUUCCCAGCACUUUCUUCUCCACGACCAACUGGAGACUCUGAGUGUUCAGCACGGCGCAUACACUGCCCUUCUCUCCUGGCCCUGGAGUUCUGCCCAGCCCAGUAGGGAGGACAGAGUGCCUGAGCAGUACAUCCCAGACCUCAGAGUCCAGGUAGAUGGGACACAGACUCUUAGAAGACCAGGUAGUUUUGAGACCAAUCCAUAGUUCAAGUUCAAAAACUGGUCAUUCAAGAUCCUACCACAAGCUAUUCCAAAGCACAUCCUGGUAUCUCCCCUAUUCCUGCUCUUCAGGCCUCUCAUCUCUACCCUGAAUCUGCCCUCAUAGUAAAGGAACCCUCCCUGAAGCCUUCCAACUCCAGCUGUCUGGCUCCAGCCCCUCUGCGAGUCUAGAAAGUCUUUGUUUAGACUCUACAAGGCAGUAACUUGUAGCCUUAGACAAGUCACUGUACUGAAACCGACUCAAUCUGCAUUGCACCAUCAAAUGGCCAUGAACUACCUCUGAGAUGUUUGGUUUUCUGACUUAAUUGUUCUCCAGUAAAAAUCCUGAGCUCCGGUGAGCCCAGCAUGUCCUUCUCCCACCCCUGACUGAUGAAUACACUAUCCCUCACAGAAUGACAGCCCUGUGCACUGGUUACUUUCCAUCAACUUGAUACAAACCUAGACAUACCUUGGAAGAAUUAAUCUCAACUGAAGAAUUGUCUCAGCCUGGCCUACGGACAUGCCUAUGAGGCAUUUUCUUGAUUGCCAGCUGAUAUAAAAGGUCCCAGCUAACUGUGGGUAGUACCACCCCUAAAUAGAUGGACCACUAUCCCAGGUAGGGGACAAACCUGUAAGCAGCUGUCCUCUGUAGUCUGCUUCAGUCCCAGCCAUCAAGCUCCUUCCUGCCUUGAGUCCUUGCUUUGACUUACCUCAAUGAUAGACUGUAACCUGUAAGCUGAAUAAACUCAUUCCUCCUCA